AGCUUGUCAAUGAUGUUUCUCUCAAAAAAUGUCUGAACAUAUGAGUUCAGAAGUGAUUUCAACCUGUAACUGAGAUAAGCU
RNAcentral lists this small nucleolar RNA (81 nucleotides) under Alligator mississippiensis (American alligator). Its description in RNAcentral is "Small nucleolar RNA SNORD72". It matches the Rfam family "Small nucleolar RNA SNORD72". From Rfam's summary of the family: snoRNA HBII-240 belongs to the CD family of snoRNAs. It is the human orthologue of the mouse MBII-240 and is predicted to guide 2'O-ribose methylation of the large 28S rRNA at residue U4590. Lineage: Eukaryota; Metazoa; Chordata; Crocodylia; Alligatoridae. The record is from Rfam by way of RNAcentral.